GCAGAUGUGGGGGGGGCUGCACCCUUUGGCUGUCCCCGCCGUGGGACUUCAUCCUCUGGCAAAAGCAGAUCAUCACUGGGAUGAGCCCCAACGCAGGCCAAGCUGGUGGCCAAGAGCACGACAGGGGGAUGUGGCAGUGUCCCAACCAGCUGUCCCUGUGCCCAGGUGGCUCUGGAUGUCAUUGAGGAGCUGUGCUGUGAGAUGGGGCUGCAGAAUCCAGAAGCUCUGGAGGAAUACAUCCUCUUCGUGGUGACCGACAGAGGUGAGGCGCUGGCAGGGACGGGACAGAGGGGACAGGACAAGCCAGGAUGGGACAGCCACGCGGGCGGUGUGGUGGCCAUACUCAGACUCCCGGGUGGCACAGGGCAGAGCGUGCGGCCACUGACCCGCCGGGAAUACGUGCUGGACGUGGCUGCCGAGACGGAGCUCCGGGACAGCAGCUACACCUUCUGGUGCCGCCGCGUGGUCUGGAGCCAACCCCUCAAGUUCGACAACGAGCUCUACGUCACCGUCCACUACAACCAGGUCGGGCCACCCCAUCAGCCUCCCCCAGGGCCACCUCCCUGUCUCCCUCAGAGCGUGCCUUGUCCCCAAGCCGUGUCCCUAUGCUCUGUCCCACUCCCAGGUGCUCCCUGACUACCUCAAGGGGCUGUUCACCGUCCUGCCGCCGGCGAGGCCGGGAGAGCAGCACUUCCCGCACGUGGCCAAGCUGGCGGCGCUCCAGCACCGAGCCAAGGACCGCCACCACCUCCCCACCGCGCGGGAGAUGCAGGACUACGUCCCUCCGCAGCUCUUCCGCCUGCUGAAGCCCCAGUCCUGGCUGCAGAUGGUGACCCAGCACGUGCAGCAAGCCCAGGCACUCAGCGCCCACCAGGCCAGGGCACAGUUCCUGGGUGAGGGGACAGCCAUGGGCACGGGGAGGUGACAUCCAGCAGGGAGAGGAUGCAGUGCUAAUGAGGAAAUAGUGCUAAUGAGGAUGCAAUGCUGCUGGGGAUGCGAUGCUGCCUGGAGGGUGAGGAUGAUGGGGAUGGGAUGGUGCUAGGACACGCAGCCCUUGUCCCUGCACAGAGGCUGGGGUGCUGCACAUGCAGGAUGGAUUGCAGGACAGGACAGGCUGCUUCCAGGCCCCACUUGGGACAAGCAUUUUUCCCCUUGGCUGCUCCUGGGUGCAGGCCACCCUGGGGACUGAGCAGACGGGGGUGGCAGUGGGCACUGAGACCCCGUCCUCCGCCCUGCAGGGCUGCUGAGCGCCUACCCCAUGUUUGGCUCGUCCUUCUUCUACAUCCAGAGCUGCAGCAACAACGCCAUCGUGUCGCCCUGUAUCCUGGCCGUCAACCAGAACGGCCUCAACUUCCUCAGCAAGGAGACCCACGUAGGUGUGGGGCCGUGUGGGACACGUGGAAUCGUGGAAUGGCUCGGGUUGGAACAAACCCGAAAGCUCAUCCAGGGGGGCCAUGGGCAGGGCCACCUUCCACUAGACCAGUUUGCUCUAAGCCCUGUCCAAACCAGGGUCCCCGCUUAGAGGGGUUCCCAGGGCACACGGGCCACCCCCCUGUCCCCCUCCCAGGAACUCAUGGCCAAGUUCUCGCUGAACGAGAUCCAGUCCACGCGGACACAGCGCCCGGCGGCCGGAUCCAGCUCUCCCUACGUGGAGAUCACCCUGGGAGACCUCCUGGCCCAGGGCAUCACCCAGCUGCAGCUGGAGCAGGGCCUGGAGCUGUGCCGCGUGGUGGCCGCGCACAUGGAGAGGCUGUUGGGUGCCCGGGAGAAGAGGCUGACGCUGCCACCCAGCGAGAUCACCCUGCUCUGAGCCCGCCAUGGCCCGGUCCCCCGGCAUGGGGGACAGAGGGUGCAGCGCCCAUGGGGUGUCCCCAGUCUGGCCAGUGGCUGCUGUCCCCCUGUCACCAACCCGCUGUUGUUCGGGGGUUUUAUACACGCCCAGGAGCCCGGCAUGACUCGGUGUCCGUGGUUUUGUGUCACGCUCGCUGCUGCAGGGGGCACGCUGCCCCUCGUGUCUGACUCCCCAUCGAUCACCAUGUGUUUCCUAUUCCCGUGCCUCAGUUUCCCCCACCGGUCUCUUUGCCCAUCCCCGUGCCUCAGUUUCCCCUGUAGCCCGCCCGUGCCUCAGUUUCCCCCACCGGUCUCUUUGCCCAUCCCGGUGCCUCAGUUUCCCCCACCGGUCUCUUUGCCCAUCCCGGUGCCUCCGUUUCCCCCACCGGUCUGUUUGCCCAUCCCGGUGCCUCCGUUUCCCCCACCGGUCUCUUUGCCCAUCCCGGUGCCUCAGUUUCCCCUCCAGCCCGCCCGUGCCUCAGUUUCC
RNAcentral lists this long non-coding RNA (2317 nucleotides) under Taeniopygia guttata (zebra finch). RNAcentral describes it as "lncRNA (ENSTGUG00000018859.1)". Lineage: Eukaryota; Metazoa; Chordata; Aves; Passeriformes; Estrildidae. The record is from RNAcentral.